This is a long non-coding RNA of Lethenteron reissneri (Far Eastern brook lamprey), 359 nucleotides long. RefSeq lists it as uncharacterized. The record is from RefSeq and is a predicted model, not a curated record. Lineage: Eukaryota; Metazoa; Chordata; Hyperoartia; Petromyzontiformes; Petromyzontidae.
CAGGGGCUUUGACUCGAGCGAGGCGGUGGAGGAGGCAACGGAGCACAGCUGCCUGGAGCCGCAGGCAGUGGCAGCAUGGACUCAUCGCCAGAGAGACGCACGGUAUCUGGGACAGGAGUCGAACCGAGACCGGACCCCGCACGGCUCCCCAGAGUUGCCGAGGAGCAACCUGUAAGAAUGGGAAGCUUCGUGUCGUCCCCAGCUUCAGUCACACCACAUGACAGGCACAUGGACACACACCGGGUUUCCAAUUGGACGUAGAACCUCCUCCGCUUAUCUAGAGACUUCAAUGUCACAGCUAUCAGAGUGAUUUUCAUCGUAAAGGGUCGAGUCAGCGCCUCAUUCUGACCGCAAGGAAU